This 469-nucleotide ribosomal RNA is filed under the name uncultured bacterium. Its description in RNAcentral is "partial 16S ribosomal RNA". It matches the Rfam family "Bacterial small subunit ribosomal RNA", at positions 28 to 507 of the family's 1533-position model. The record is from RNAcentral.
GACGAACGCUGGCGGCGUGCUUAACACAUGCAAGUCGAACGGAAAGGCCCUGCUUGCAGGGUGCUCGCGUGGCGAACGGGUGAGUAACACGUGGGUGAUCUGCCCCUUACUUUUGGAUAAGCCUUGGAAACUGGGUCUAAUACUGGAUAUGACCAUGCUGUCGGUGGUGUGGUGGAUGGAUUAGUUUCGGUAAGGGAUGAGCUCGCGGCCUAUCAGCUUGUUGGUGGGGUAAUGGCCUACCAAGGCGUCGUCGGGUAGCCGGCCUGAGAGGGUGGACGGCCACAUUGGUGCUGCGAUACGGCCCAGACUACUCCGAGGGGCAGCAGUAGGGGGUAUUACACAAUAGGCGGAAGAAGGAUGCAGCGACGACGCGUGGGGGAUGACGGCCGUCGGCUUGUAAAAUACUUUCAGCGAUGGCGAAGCCGUUGUGGUGACGGUAGUGGUAAAAGAAGCACCGGCUAACUACGUG